Molecule: non-coding RNA, 632 nt
Organism: Schizosaccharomyces pombe (fission yeast)
Lineage: Eukaryota; Fungi; Ascomycota; Schizosaccharomycetes; Schizosaccharomycetales; Schizosaccharomycetaceae
Source: the annotation of a GenBank genome assembly
GUAAAGAUCAGAUGAUAACAAAAUUAAUAUAAGUAAACAAGAAAUUAGGUCAAAGAACGACUAACAGAAUAUAACAAUUUUAGAACGAUUAGCAAAAAUAGUAUGAAAUUUCAAGGGAAUAAAAAGAACUUCACUGGAUAUCGUGUUUUCCAUUUAACAAUUUCGAAAGAGUCGUAUACGUGAAUUUGGUGAUUCUAUUCAAAGGAGAAAGUGAUGUUCUCAAAAAAAAAGAGCGAUUCCAUAAUCAACGACCAUAGUAUGUAGGACGAAAUCGGAACCAAAUUUAAAUAAAAAUCAACGCUUUUCAUCUGCGGCCACGUCCACCACGUCCACCCAUGCGUCCACCACCGCGGCCGCCGAAACCACCGUGAGGACCAUGAAGUGGGCCAUGAUGGCCACCACCGAUUCUUGGACCAAACAAAGGGCCUCUGGGAGGAGGAGGGGCGUAGUAAGCACGGUGACCACGAAGAACACUGCCGGCUAAAGCUCCAACCAUGAAACCUCCUAAUCCAGCCGUCAUAGACCGUGAGCCGUCAGAAGAGCGAGGCACGUCCUUUUGAUAGACGACGGUAGUGGUACCGGGAGGAGGAGGAAUAUGCAAGCCUGGAAUAGGAGGCUCCCACUGUGGUUGA